UAAUUGCCCAAAACCUUCAUCCCAAUUCUUAACCCUCUUCAAAGCACCACACACGCACACACACACACACACACACACACACACACACACACACACACACACACACGCACACACUCGCGCGCGCGCGCGCGCGCGCCACAAUACAAAUUAUCACAGAGAUAGCAUAGUGACCUCCAGAAACCCCGGGCUCUGUGUCUGGAGGCUCUGGGGAAAGGUGAGGGGAAGGAGUCAGAAAAUAAAAAGGGGAAACACUGAACUCCAGAUAGUGGACAAGAAAGGACCCCAAUGAACCCGCUUUGAGAUCCUCUACAUCUACUGGGAAGGGGAGGGGCAGAGCCUUCGUCCAGCCCUGAAUCAAGUCCCCGUUGGAGAGAGAUUCGGGACCCACAGCUCCUAGCCCUAGUCCCUAGACCGAGCUCAGGAGCCAGUCCGCCCCUCGCCGCCUCCCGGACAAAAUGUCAAGUACAAGUUCAAGUUCAGGGCCGUGCCCUGGGGGGCGCAACUCUUUCCCGUCACCGCCUUUUGUUCUUCCUCUGACAAUCGCUCUUUAUUCCCCCUCCGGGGCUGGGCCUGUCUUCUAGCUGCCGCCAGCAAACUCCCCCUGACCCACAGGGGCCAGCGGUGAGACGUUCUUGCAGUCUGGGCUCCUCCUCAGUCGCAGGGGAACUAAGACUUUGGGGGACUAGGAGUGGCUACCAGAAGCCCUUGGGAGAGUUUUACUCUCCUUCCUAUUUCCUCCUCCCAGUUCAAUUCGGGGCAAACUUUCUGUUCAAUCUUGGAGUUCCUUCCCACAAGUUUGGUCGCUUGAGUUCGUUCUCAGCUUGCCUUUACCUUGGAUCUUCAGCUAGACAUGAGUCUUCAAACCAAGAACUUCAAAUUCAAUGGCAGAGCUUGGCAUUGUGUGUCUAACUGGUCCUCUUUGCUGUAACCAAAAAUAUCCAAUGGCUUCAGGAGUGGAGGCAGAGGAAGAGGAAAGGUCUAUUUAAGGAAGUGUCAGAGCAUUCACUAGUCAUUCAGAUAAAUGAAGAUAGCUAUUGUAUGCAAAAGAAAAUAGAUUUAUUUUGCUUCAUUCCAGAAAUUAGGACUAGGACCAAAUAGCCAAAACUCUUAAGCAAGAACUCAAAUACAAUUCAUUUCUGGGAGUCUCAGGGGUAAAGGAAUGAGGUAGUCACAACAGGGAAUCAUCUUCAUAACUGUUGUCUCAGCAUCCUCAGGAGACAGAGAAACAUGUAUGCUGUGGAACUCCAGAGUCUGGUGUGGUGGGUCACAGAAGAACCCAGGAUUUGUGAUUACAAGGAUAUUGGAUCAGAUGUUCUCUAAAUUACCUUCCAGCACUGAAUCUUAUGAAAUUUUAAAAAAAAAUUAUUUUUAUUUUGCACUUAAAUACCAAACAAAAUGGGCAUUUUUAUAUACCUAAUAGAACAAAAGAGGUGAUUGUAUACGAAACCUUAAAUCUCUGUUAUGUACAGCUUGCUUUUUAAAAGUAUAAAAUAAAUUCAACUUGUAGCUUUCA
RNAcentral lists this long non-coding RNA (1513 nucleotides) under Phascolarctos cinereus (koala). RNAcentral's name for it is "lncRNA (ENSPCIG00000006457.2)". Lineage: Eukaryota; Metazoa; Chordata; Mammalia; Diprotodontia; Phascolarctidae. The record is from RNAcentral.